GCAGGGCUCAGUGGCCCAUGCUUGUAGUUCUAGCUACGCAGGAGGCUGAGGUAGGACGAUCACUCGAACCCAGGAGUUCUGGAUUGUAGUACGCCAUGCCGGCAGGGUGUCUGUACCAAGUUUCACAUCAAUAUGGUGAACUCCCAGAAGUGGGGGACCACCAGAUUGCCUAAGGAAGGGUGAAUUGGCCCAGGGCAGAAACAGAGCAGGUCAAAACUCCCAUGCUGAUCAGCAGUGGGAUCGUGCCUGUGAUUAGCCACUGCACUCCAGCUUGAGCAACAAAGCGAGACCUUGUCUCU
Molecule: signal recognition particle RNA, 299 nt
Filed under: Carlito syrichta (Philippine tarsier)
Lineage: Eukaryota; Metazoa; Chordata; Mammalia; Primates; Tarsiidae
Description: Metazoan signal recognition particle RNA (ENSTSYG00000026301.1)
Rfam family: Metazoan signal recognition particle RNA
About the family: The signal recognition particle (SRP) is a universally conserved ribonucleoprotein. It is involved in the co-translational targeting of proteins to membranes. The eukaryotic SRP consists of a 300-nucleotide 7S RNA and six proteins: SRPs 72, 68, 54, 19, 14, and 9.
Source: RNAcentral